RNAcentral lists this ribosomal RNA (249 nucleotides) under Clostridioides difficile. RNAcentral describes it as "partial 23S ribosomal RNA". It matches the Rfam family "Bacterial large subunit ribosomal RNA", at positions 416 to 666 of the family's 2925-position model. Lineage: Bacteria; Bacillati; Bacillota; Clostridia; Peptostreptococcales; Peptostreptococcaceae. The record is from RNAcentral.
CACGGGACACGUGAAACCCUGUGGGAAGCAGGAGGGACCACCCUCCAAGGCUAAAUACUACCUAGGGACCGAUAGCGUAUAGUACCGUGAGGGAAAGGGGAAAAGAACCCCGGGAGGGGAGUGAAAUAGAACCUGAAACCCUGCACUUACAAGCUGUGGAAGCACAUUGCUUGUGUGACCGCGUACUUUUUGUAGAACGGGCCAACGAGUUACGUUAAGUAGCAAGGUUAAGCACUUAAGGUGUGGAGC